AGUGAACGCUGGCGGCGUGCCUAAUACAUGCAAGUCGAACGGAGUGGCGCACGGGUGAGUAAUGUAUAGCUAAUCCGCCCUACACUAGAGGACAACAGUUGGAAACGACUGCUAAUACUCCAUAGUGUAGGAUGAGGAUAUAUUGUAUCAGCUAGUUGAUGAGGUAAUGGCUCACUCAGGCUAUGACGCAUAACUGGUCUGAGAGGAUGAUCAGUCACACUGGAACUGAGACACGGUCCGGACUCCUACGGGAGGGAGCAGUAGGGUGUAUUGCUCAAUGGGCGAAACCCUGAAGCAGCUACGCCGCGUGGAGGAUGACACUUUGCGAAGCAUAAACGCCUUUUGUUAGGGAAGCGGUACCUAACGAAUAAGCACCGGCUAACUCCGUGCCAGCAGCCGCGGUAAUAC
RNAcentral lists this ribosomal RNA (408 nucleotides) under uncultured bacterium. Its description in RNAcentral is "partial 16S ribosomal RNA". It matches the Rfam family "Bacterial small subunit ribosomal RNA", at positions 29 to 526 of the family's 1533-position model. The record is from RNAcentral.